RNAcentral lists this ribosomal RNA (433 nucleotides) under uncultured bacterium. RNAcentral describes it as "partial 16S ribosomal RNA". It matches the Rfam family "Bacterial small subunit ribosomal RNA", at positions 29 to 507 of the family's 1533-position model. The record is from RNAcentral.
AACGAACGCUGGCGGCAUGCCUAACACAUGCAAGUCGAACGAACCCUUCGGGGUUAGUGGCGCACGGGUGCGUAACGCGUGGGAAUCUGCCCUUUGCUUCGGAAUAACUCAGGGAAACUUGUGCUAAUGCCGGAUGAUGUCUUCGGACCAAAGAUUUAUCGGCAAGGGAUGAGCCCGCGUAGGAUUAGGUAGUUGGUGGGGUAAAGGCCUACCAAGCCGACGAUCCUUAGCUGGUCUGAGAGGAUGAUCAGCCACACUGGGACUGAGACACGGCCCAGACUCCUACGGGAGGCAGCAGUGGGGAAUAUUGGACAAUGGGCGCAAGCCUGAUCCAGCAAUGCCGCGUGAGUGAUGAAGGCCCUCGGGUCGUAAAGCUCUUUUACCAGGGAUGAUAAUGACAGUACCUGGAGAAUAAGCUCCGGCUAACUCCGUG